Molecule: transfer RNA, 65 nt
Filed under: Gastrocopta cristata
Lineage: Eukaryota; Metazoa; Mollusca; Gastropoda; Stylommatophora; Pupillidae
Description: tRNA-Pro
Source: RNAcentral
UUAAAAGAAGUUAUGAAAUAAUAUUAACUUUGGGAGUUAAAGACUGAGGUAAACUCACUUUUAGG